Molecule: ribosomal RNA, 253 nt
Filed under: uncultured bacterium
Lineage: Bacteria
Description: partial 16S ribosomal RNA
Rfam family: Bacterial small subunit ribosomal RNA
Source: RNAcentral
UACGUAGGAGGCGAGCGUUGUUCGGAAUUACUGGGCGUAAAGGGCUCGUAGGCGGCCAACUAAGUCAGACGUGAAAUCCCCAGGCUCAACCUGGGAACUGCGUCUGAUACUGGAUGGCUUGAAUUCGGGAGAGGGAUGCAGAAUUCCAGGUGUAGCGGUGGAAUGCGUAGAUAUCUGGAGGAAUACCGGUGGCGAAGGCGGCAUCCUGGACCGACAUUGACGCUGAGGAGCGAAAGCUAGGGGAGCAAACGGG